This 88-nucleotide transfer RNA is filed under the name Candidatus Woesearchaeota archaeon. RNAcentral describes it as "tRNA-Leu". It matches the Rfam family "tRNA". From Rfam's summary of the family: Transfer RNA (tRNA) molecules are approximately 80 nucleotides in length. Their secondary structure includes four short double-helical elements and three loops (D, anti-codon, and T loops). Further hydrogen bonds mediate the characteristic L-shaped molecular structure. tRNAs have two regions of fundamental functional importance: the anti-codon, which is responsible for specific mRNA codon recognition, and the 3' end, to which the tRNAs corresponding amino acid is attached (by aminoacyl-tRNA synthetases). tRNAs cope with the degeneracy of the genetic code in two manners: having more than one tRNA (with a specific anti-codon) for a particular amino acid; and 'wobble' base-pairing, i.e. permitting non-standard base-pairing at the 3rd anti-codon position. The record is from RNAcentral. Lineage: Archaea; Nanobdellati; Candidatus Woesearchaeota.
GCCGUGGUCGCAUAACCAGGUAGUGCGCUCGAUUUAGAAUCGAGUGAGCCAUCCGAAGCUCUUGCGGGUUCGAAUCCCGUCCACGGCG